CAAACCAAAAAGGAGUACAUUGCUCCUGUGAAAAGAGAGAUAUCAUAGCUCUAUUUUUCGCUGUGGCAGAACGAAAUGGUUCAAGGAUUCAUCCAUUUCAAGAGGCUAGGCAAUUUAUUGAUUAGAGAAGGAAAAUUUUGUUUGGAUACAAAUGAUCGGAUCCUCAGUUUGGAAACAGUAAGGAAAAAUGGAGGUGUGGACAAUGAGAUCGGUGGAACACUCUUUGUUCUUGGUAUGGGACGGUAUAGGAAUAUUUAAAUCUCAGGAUUUUCAGCCUGUUGAGUCUGAUUAAAUUGAAAAGUAGGAGAAUCAACAGCCUCCUGAGUCUGUUGGGCUUUUGUGUCGCUGGUCCGGAUGGCUUCUCAUCCCUAUUCUUCCAGCAUUGCUGGGAUAUCAUUCAGGAGGAUGUUUACAGGGCGGUAUUGGAUUUCUUUGAUGGUAGUCAUCUUCCACGGGGUUUUGCUGCUACUUCUAUUGUCUUGCUACCUAAGAAGGAUGGUGCUUGCAGAUGGACUGAAUUCAUACCAAUCAG
Molecule: long non-coding RNA, 532 nt
Organism: Olea europaea var. sylvestris
Lineage: Eukaryota; Viridiplantae; Streptophyta; Magnoliopsida; Lamiales; Oleaceae
Exons: 3
Source: RefSeq, a predicted model, not a curated record